AACGAACGCUGGCGGCAUGCCUAACACAUGCAAGUCGAACGGGAUCCAUCCUUCGGGGUGGUGAGAGUGGCGGACGGGUGAGUAACGCGUGGGAACCUGCCCAGUGGUGGGGGAUAACUGCGGGAAACUGCAGCUAAUACCGCAUGAGCCCGAGAGGGGAAAGAUUUAUCGCCAUUGGAGGGGCCCGCGUUCGAUUAGGUAGUUGGUGAGGUAAUGGCUCACCAAGCCGACGAUCGAUAGCUGGUCUGAGAGGAUGAUCAGCCACACUGGGACUGAGAUACGGCCCAGACUCCUACGGGAGGCUG
This 305-nucleotide ribosomal RNA is filed under the name uncultured Pseudomonadota bacterium. Its description in RNAcentral is "bacterial SSU rRNA". It matches the Rfam family "Bacterial small subunit ribosomal RNA", at positions 29 to 351 of the family's 1533-position model. Lineage: Bacteria; Pseudomonadati; Pseudomonadota. The record is from RNAcentral.